UUCACGUCCCAAAAUCUCCUUCCAUAGCAAUUGAUAUGUACAAAGGAUUUCCAAAUUUCCAUGUCCAACAAAAAACUCUAGCCUUCGGGUCUCCGUUUACAAAACUCAUCGACGUUGACUCAGUCCGGAUCAAACUUCAUUUCGGAUUCGACAUGGUACGUCGAGCAGAUCAAUCGAAACUCCUCCGAUUCGGUUCUGUUUUGACUCAGCUAUGCACACCUUCGCCGAAUCCUACCAUACGUCACCGGAAUCUGAUGAUAUAAAACGAAAAACAAUAACCAACCUGUAAUUCCAACCACAAUCAGACAUCAUCGGCUUUCGACAUAACCGAGAGCCGACUUGGCCUGGGCUGGAAAUCAGCACGACGCCUUUGCUGAUGCGAAGACGGCCGAAUCAACGCCGUCAAUGCUCUCUUCACCCACUCACCUUCGACGCUACCGAUUCUCACAAGUGAAUUCGUCAUCGCCGAUCGCCUCAUGUUCAGCCGGUUGGGCGUAUACGGUACAGAACCACUUCCAUUAUUAUGAACACCAGUAUUCUUGUGCAGACUACACCGAAAUGAUCCCGGAUGCGUAGUUGGAGAACACAUGCAAGUCUUCUUCGGGAGAGAGAUCGGGUUAUUCUGUUUGGUAACCGUUAUAGACCGAUUAGGAGAACUAGAUCUGCCAAUAGAAAAUCGAAAGGAAUGAGAAUUGGGACAUG
RNAcentral lists this unclassified non-coding RNA (702 nucleotides) under Hevea brasiliensis (rubber tree). Lineage: Eukaryota; Viridiplantae; Streptophyta; Magnoliopsida; Malpighiales; Euphorbiaceae. The record is from RNAcentral.